GGAUGCGAUCAUACCAGCACUAAAGCACCGAUCCUAUCAGAACUCCGAAGUUAAGCGUGCUUGGGCGAGAGUAGUACUAGGAUGGGUGACCUCCUGGGAAGUCCUCGUGUUGCAUUCCC
This 119-nucleotide ribosomal RNA is filed under the name Secale cereale subsp. tetraploidum. The record is from RNAcentral. Lineage: Eukaryota; Viridiplantae; Streptophyta; Magnoliopsida; Poales; Poaceae.